AGUGAACGCUGGCGGUAGGCCUAACACAUGCAAGUCGAACGGCAGCACAGUAAGAGCUUGCUCUUACGGGUGGCGAGUGGCGGACGGGUGAGGAAUACAUCGGAAUCUACUUUUUCGUGGGGGAUAACGUAGGGAAACUUACGCUAAUACCGCAUACGACCUACGGGUGAAAGCAGGGGAUCUUCGGACCUUGCGCGAUUGAAUGAGCCGAUGUCGGAUUAGCUAGUUGGCGGGGUAAAGGCCCACCAAGGCGACGAUCCGCAGCUGGUCUGAGAGGAUGAUCAGCCACACUGGAACUGAGACACGGUCCAGACUCCUACGGGAGGCAGCAGUGGGGAAUAUUGGACAAUGGGCGCAAGCCUGAUCCAGCCAUACCGCAUGGGUGAAGAAGGCCUUCGGGUUGUAAAGCCCUUUUGUUGGGAAAGAAAAGCAGCAGGUUAAUACCCCGCUGUUCUGACGGUACCCAAAGAAUAAGCACCGGCUAACUUCGUG
Molecule: ribosomal RNA, 492 nt
Filed under: uncultured bacterium
Lineage: Bacteria
Description: partial 16S ribosomal RNA
Rfam family: Bacterial small subunit ribosomal RNA
Source: RNAcentral